RNAcentral lists this ribosomal RNA (484 nucleotides) under uncultured bacterium. RNAcentral describes it as "partial 16S ribosomal RNA". It matches the Rfam family "Bacterial small subunit ribosomal RNA", at positions 28 to 507 of the family's 1533-position model. The record is from RNAcentral.
AUUGAACGCUGGCGGCAUGCUUUACACAUGCAAGUCGAACGGCAGCGCGGGCGUCGGCCUGGCGGCGAGGGGCGAACGGGUGAGUAAUGCAUCGGAACGUGCCCAUUAGUGGGGGAUAGCCCGGCGAAAGCCGGACUAAUACCGCAUACGACCUGACGGUGAAAGCGGGGGACCGAAAGGCCCCGCGCUAUUGGAGCGGCCGAUGUCGGAUUAGCUAGUUGGUGGGGUAAAGGCUUACCAAGGCGACGAUCCGUAGCUGGUCUGAGAGGACGACCAGCCACACUGGGACUGAGACACGGCCCAGACUCCUACGGGAGGCAGCAGUGGGGAAUUUUGGACAAUGGGGGCAAGCCUGAUCCAGCCAUGCCGCGUGCGGGAAGAAGGCCUUCGGGUUGUAAACCGCUUUUGUUCGGGAAGAAAUCCUCUGGGCUAAUACCCCGGGGGGAUGACGGUACCGGAAGAAUAAGCACCGGCUAACUACGUG